CUUGUACUUUAAAGACUGCAAGCCAGACUGGUACAAAGAAGUCCUAGCUUCAGAGAAUUAAGCCCUGAGGCACAAAGGCCAGAUCUGUACUUGAAAAAGCUCCUUUGUGUUGCUACGCUGGCAAACUCUCCUAGAAGGAAUGAAGCAUAGGUAAUGCCACACAGAGGAGCAAGAGAGUUUUAAAAUAGGUAUUUGUACACCAGGACUUACAUGGAUAAAAGAGAGGCUGCAUAAAAGCUGUUUGGUCACUGAAUAACCUUGCUGCACAGGCAAAAAUUUCCGAAUGGCCAAGCAGAGGCAGGUCUGAGCAGAUCAAGUUCCAUCCAGCUCUGGGAGCCAGGCUGAGACCUCACUGUAAGGCAUGGAGAUGCUGCAGAGGACUCUCUCAACUGCAGUGUGAUGGUGACAUCUGCUCUGAUGGUGCUGACCCAGUUGCUAUUGGGAAUUUGGUGAUGCAGAGCAUAGAGGCAGCAAUGGAAUUUCACUACCCUGAGGAGGUGCUGAGCACAUUCAGAUGUCUUCAAAGACAGUGAGGUACCCAGAGCACCAUGCAUCCCCCUGCAC
This 564-nucleotide long non-coding RNA is filed under the name Chrysolophus pictus (golden pheasant). Its description in RNAcentral is "lncRNA (ENSCPIG00010013647.1)". Lineage: Eukaryota; Metazoa; Chordata; Aves; Galliformes; Phasianidae. The record is from RNAcentral.